AUGAACGCUGGCGGCGUGCCUAAUACCUGCACGUCGAGCGAACAGACGAGGAGCUUGCUCCUCUGACGUUAGCGGAGGAGGGGUGAGUAACACGUGGAUAACCUACCUAUAAGACUGGGAUAACUUCGGGAAACCGGAGUUAAUACCGGCUACUAUAUUGAACCGCAUGGUUCAAUAGUGAAAGACGGUUUUGCUGUCACUUAUAGAUGGAUCCGCGCCGCAUUAGCUAGUUGGUAAGGUAACGGCCUACCAAGGCAACGAUGCGUAGCCGACCUGAGAGGGUGAUCGGCCACACUGGAACUGAGACACGGUCCAGACUCCUACGGGAGGCAGCAGUAGGGAAUCUUCCGCAAUGGGCGAAAGCUUGACGGAGCAACGCCGCGUGAGUGAUGAAGGUCUUCGGAUCGUAAAACUCUGUUAUUAGGGAAGAACAAAUGUGUAAGUAACUAUGCACGUCUUGACGGUACCUAAUCAGAAAGCCACGGCUAACUACGUG
This 496-nucleotide ribosomal RNA is filed under the name uncultured bacterium. RNAcentral's name for it is "partial 16S ribosomal RNA". It matches the Rfam family "Bacterial small subunit ribosomal RNA", at positions 29 to 507 of the family's 1533-position model. The record is from RNAcentral.